AGGGUUUGUCCUGGGCUCAGGACGAACGCUGGCGGCGUGCCUAAUACAUGCAAGUCGAGCGAGUCUGCCUUGAAGAUCGGAGUGCUUGCACUCUGUGAAACAAGAUACAGGCUAGCGGCGGACGGGUGAGUAACACGUGGGUAACCUGCCCAAGAGAUCGGGAUAACACCUGGAAACAGAUGCUAAUACCGGAUAACAACAGAUGAUGCCUAUCAACUGUUUAAAAGAUGGUUCUGCUAUCACUCUUGGAUGGACCUGCGGUGCAUUAGCUAGUUGGUAGGGUAACGGCCUACCAAGGCGAUGAUGCAUAGCCGAGUUGAGAGACUGAUCGGCCACAUUGGGACUGAGACACGGCCCAAACUCCUACGGGAGGCAGCAGUAGGGAAUCUUCCACAAUGGACGCAAGUCUGAUGGAGCAACGCCGCGUGAGUGAAGAAGGGUUUCGGCUCGUAAAGCUCUGUUGUUGGUGAAGAAGGACAGGGGUAGUAACUGACCUUUGUUUGACGGUAAUCAAUUAGAAAGUCACGGCUAACUACGUGCCAGCAGCCGCGGUAAUACGUAGGUGGCAAGCGUUGUCCGGAUUUAUUGGGCGUAAAGCGAGUGCAGGCGGCUCGAUAAGUCUGAUGUGAAAGCCUUCGGCUCAACCGGGAGAAUUGCAUCANAAACUGUCGAGCUUGA
RNAcentral lists this ribosomal RNA (678 nucleotides) under uncultured Bacillota bacterium. RNAcentral describes it as "bacterial SSU rRNA". It matches the Rfam family "Bacterial small subunit ribosomal RNA", at positions 8 to 645 of the family's 1533-position model. Lineage: Bacteria; Bacillati; Bacillota. The record is from RNAcentral.